This 280-nucleotide long non-coding RNA is filed under the name Lathyrus oleraceus (garden pea). Its description in RNAcentral is "Pisum sativum (pea) long non-coding RNA (PSAT_LNC027046)". Lineage: Eukaryota; Viridiplantae; Streptophyta; Magnoliopsida; Fabales; Fabaceae. The record is from RNAcentral.
AUAAUAAUUAUUUUGAUGUGUGUAUGAUGUUUGAGUUAUGUUGAUGAGUUGUCGUGUUCAUGCAUCAUACUAGUAUGGAGAUUAGGUAGGACUUCCGUCCAAUGACGUAGGACCUCAGCCCAAUGAUGUGAGACUUUUGUGUCGGAGUGACGUAGGACUUGGGUCCAGUGGUGUUAGGAUUGUUGUCUAGUGAUGUGGGAUAAUAUCAAUAACACACCUCUGAUACCAAAUAAAAAACUUGAUACUACAUACAUUUUGAUGAGGCAUUGGUGCAUUAGCA